Molecule: Y RNA, 99 nt
Filed under: Microcebus murinus (gray mouse lemur)
Lineage: Eukaryota; Metazoa; Chordata; Mammalia; Primates; Cheirogaleidae
Description: Y RNA (ENSMICG00000021923.3)
Rfam family: Y RNA
About the family: Y RNAs are components of the Ro ribonucleoprotein particle (Ro RNP), in association with Ro60 and La proteins. The Y RNAs and Ro60 and La proteins are well conserved, but the function of the Ro RNP is not known.
Source: Rfam by way of RNAcentral
GGUGGUCUGAUGUGGUGAUAUUUACAGCUACUUGAUCACAACUAGUUAACGAUUCCUUUGUCCUUCUCCACCUCCACUGCUUCACUUGACCAGCCUUAA